RNAcentral lists this ribosomal RNA (128 nucleotides) under uncultured eukaryote. RNAcentral describes it as "partial small subunit ribosomal RNA". It matches the Rfam family "Eukaryotic small subunit ribosomal RNA", at positions 1651 to 1780 of the family's 1831-position model. The record is from RNAcentral.
CCCUGCCAUUUGUACACACCGCCCGUCGCACCUACCGAUUGGAUGGUCCGGUGAAGACUCGGGAUUGUGGCUGGUGCCUUUACUGGUGUCUGCCGCGAGAACUUGUCUAAACCUUAUCAUCUAGAGGA